This 253-nucleotide ribosomal RNA is filed under the name uncultured prokaryote. RNAcentral's name for it is "partial 16S ribosomal RNA". It matches the Rfam family "Bacterial small subunit ribosomal RNA", at positions 524 to 776 of the family's 1533-position model. The record is from RNAcentral.
UACGGAGGGGGCUAGCGUUGUUCGGAAUUACUGGGCGUAAAGCGCACGUAGGCGGCUUUGUAAGUUAGAGGUGAAAGCCCAGGGCUCAACCCUGGAAUUGCCUUUAAGACUGCAUCGCUUGAACAUCGGAGAGGUAAGUGGAAUUCCGAGUGUAGAGGUGAAAUUCGUAGAUAUUCGGAAGAACACCAGUGGCGAAGGCGGCUCACUGGUCCGGUUCUGACGCUGAGGCGCGAAAGCGUGGGGAGCAAACAGG